UUGUUGUUCAAGCCGUUUGGUUAUUAUGGUUGUAACAUUGUUGUUCUUUAUUUUUAUUGUCAUAAUAUAGUUUGGUUUGUUGCUGGAAAUUAGGUGUUAAACACCUCAUUAUAUGGUGUUCUUGUUGUGUUUUUGAAUUCGAGAGGGGUCACCAAAAGAGGUCCAUAGUUCCUUGAACUAGUGGACUGUUUUGGUGUUUAUUUUCUUGUGUUCUUGGGCUGUCUUGUAUCACUUGUCAACAGUCCCUCCUUCCAUUACGCAUGAAAAUACAAAUUCCAUCUACUAGUCAGAACACCUGUCCAGUCCCAGUUAUAUGCAAAAUUCUUAAAAUCUCUCUCCAGAUCUUUUACCUUCUGCUGCAUUAAAACAACUAGAUUCAAAUGAUUGUUUCACCCACUCUGCACUCACUGCAUUAAAUACUCCAAUUUCUCCACACUUAACCUACUCUAAUUCUGAAGCAUUAAAUACUACUACUCUUCUUAAUAAUGGACAGAGUUCAAUCACUUCCAGUGCACCAAAAAGUUUGGCUUCACCCUCUACCCCGUCCCUUCAGAAACCAUAAUGAGCAAUCCUUCUCAAAUUCCUCCGGAAUCAAUCAGUCACCCACUGCUCUAUGCAACACAACCUGUUCACCCCUUGCAUCAGCCCUCAACUUGGAUAGAGAGAGUUAUCCAGGUCCAUGCAACAUUAUUUACCAUGGAUAUCAACGGAGUAGAGACACUGGUCAUUCUACAAAAUCAAAACUUCUUAGCCCAGCUAAUCUCGAAAGGGAUGAAAAAAGCAAUAGAAUACUUUGUGAAUCAAAUAAGGCUCUCCAAUGUAAUGAACUCAUUAGUGAAAUCAACUACUCCUCAAUUUAUCCAAACCAUGCAGUCAUUUUGGAAUCUCCAGCAUCUCCUCAAUCAGUUUCCGAACAUGAACGAAAUUGCUCAAACCCCAUUUUUCACUCCACAGGAAGUAGUUAAUGCCUACCCUCUCUUUUUUCCUUGGACGCCAUUUUUUUUACAACAAGGACAAUUUGUGAAUCUAGAGACACCAUCGGCUGCGGUUCCAGUUCGCGGAGAACACAUAAUCAUAUCAUUCAUGGAAAUCUCAAACUUCUAAAAUACGGCUCUUAUGAUCUUUCUCGAAGACGGGGAGAAGAAAUAUAUCCACCUAUGUCCAGUAACUCUUCUGAAGAGCUCAUUCGACCUCAGGCCUGCUAUCAACAGCGCCUUAGGAAGUAUGCAGUAGUGAUGACGUCAACUCUUCAUUGUAGUCAGUUUUUGGCAGCCAAAAGCUCUCUAUAUUCUUUAAACUUUUUCUCUCCAAUGAGUCAAGCUACAUGUUUUAUUGUCUGGAAUAUUAGGGGUGUGAACAAUGACGACCUUACGAGAAAUUUUAGGUAUCUUAUAAAUUCUCACAAUCCUUUCUUUGUUCCUCCUUUAGAGACUAAACUGAGUAACCAUCUUAGCCUUAUGUAUGAUUUCAAUUUUGAUGAUUAUUGGGAAGUCCCAACUUUAGGUCGAUCGGGUGGGAUUAUUCUCUUCUCUGGCAUUCCACCUUUGUUAGUGUUACCUGCAAACGCCAGACGCCCCAGGAAUUACAUGCUAUGAUCAAGGUUAAUGUUGAAGAGCGUAGGGAGUCCAGUGGUGCAACAUAAUUUUCGGGAAGCAAAUAUAGUAGCUGACUUUUUUGUCAAGAAAAGGGUCGCAGCAACUUCAGUCAUCAGCUAACCACCACAUUUUCAAAUCUCUACCGGUGGAAUUAGUUGAACAGAUUCAAAAGAAUAUUAGCGGAAUUCUACUCUCUUGGUUGAUGUAUAAUAACCUCCUCUGUAUAGGCAAACAGUCCGUGUCAACUUCUGUUAGAACUAGUGUUCUCUAAUGCUAGGCAUAUUACUACUACUGUAACCUCUUCUAGUUUAAGCUCUACUACUGUUAGGACUUCCCCAGGAGUUUCUCUACCCUAUGUACUAAUGUCUAACUUACAUAUAGUAAUAUUUUUCUUGUUUUUAA
Long non-coding RNA from Capsicum annuum, 1997 nucleotides. RefSeq lists it as uncharacterized. Lineage: Eukaryota; Viridiplantae; Streptophyta; Magnoliopsida; Solanales; Solanaceae. The record is from RefSeq and is a predicted model, not a curated record. The transcript has 2 exons.